CUCCUACGGGAGGCAGCAGUGGGGAAUAUUGGGCAAUGGAUGAAAGUCUGACCCAGCCAUGCCGCGUGCAGGAAGAAUGCCUUAUGGGUUGUAAACUGCUUUUGUAUAGGAAGAAACCCCCGAUCGUGAUCGGGGCUGACGGUACUAUACGAAUAAGGAUCGGCUAACUCCGUGCCAGCAGCCGCGGUAAUACGGAGGAUCCAAGUGUUAUCCGGAUUUAUUAGGUUUAAAGGGUGCGUAGGCGGAAUUUUAAGUCAGUGGUGAAAUCCUACAGCUUAACUGUAGAACUGCCAUUGAAACUAUUAUUCUUGAGUAUAGUUGAGGUAGGCGGAACGUGUUAUGUAGCGGUGAAAUGCAUAGAUAUAACACAGAACACCAAUUGCGUAGGCAGCUUACUAAACUAUUACUGACGCUGAGGCACGAAAGCGUGGGUAGCGAACAGGAUUAGAUACCCUAGUAGUCCAAGCCG
Molecule: ribosomal RNA, 469 nt
Filed under: uncultured bacterium
Lineage: Bacteria
Description: bacterial SSU rRNA
Rfam family: Bacterial small subunit ribosomal RNA
Source: RNAcentral